This is a non-coding RNA of Pantherophis guttatus, 513 nucleotides long. The record is from RefSeq and is a predicted model, not a curated record. Lineage: Eukaryota; Metazoa; Chordata; Lepidosauria; Squamata; Colubridae.
CUCAUGCAAAGCAGCCCAAACUUCCUCCUCACUGCCGUGGUGCAAAUAAUUCGGCACUCGGAAAUGCUUCGUGCCCAGGUGGUUGCAAUACGACAACUUGGUCGGUAAGGGCAAGCACCGGCCAGCCGAUGGAGUCAAUCCAGAAAGGCUGGAAGUAUAAGGAAUGCCCUGUCCCCUAAAGAGAUACAUCUGGUGGGACCCAGAAGAACGGCCUUCUCCAUGGUGGUUCCCUCUCUCUGGAACAUCAUCCCCCCCGAGAUAAGACUGUCCCCUAUUCUAACACUCUUUUGGAAGGUCCUGAAGAUGUGGUUCUGUCAGCUGGCCUGAGAAACCCAAAGCAGGAUGGAGCCCAAUAAAUGGCUAAUAUGAAUGCAACCUGAAGAAUGGAUGAUAGCACUCAGGGCUGGAAAAGAUGGCCAACCAUUAGAACAAAGUCGGGUUUCAAGUCUGAAAACUGUGUACCUUAGAGAAGUGAUUGUUGGUAUAGAAAGGAAUAAAAGCCUAUUUCUGAAA